UCAUGUUGAAACACCAGUUCUCUUACAAUCCCCAAAGUUAAGCAACAUUAAGUCUGGUCAGUACCUAGAUGGGUGAUCAUUUGGGAAUACCAGGUUCUGCAUG
Non-coding RNA from Acanthosepion pharaonis, 103 nucleotides. The record is from the annotation of a GenBank genome assembly. Lineage: Eukaryota; Metazoa; Mollusca; Cephalopoda; Sepiida; Sepiidae.